AUUGAACGCUGGCGGCAUGCCUUACACAUGCAAGUCGAACGGCAGCACGGGUGCUUGCACCUGGUGGCGAGUGGCGAACGGGUGAGUAAUACAUCGGGACAUGUCCUGUAGAGGGGGAUAGCACGGCGAAAGCCGGAGUAAUACCGCAUACGAUCUACGGAUGAAAGCGGGGGACCUACGGGCCUCGGGCUCUAGUGUCGGCCGAUGGCUGAUUAGCUAGUUGGUGGGGUAAAGGCCUACCAAGGCGACGAUCAGUAGCUGGUCUGAGAGGACGACCAGCCACACUGGAACUGAGACACGGCCCAGACUCCUACGGGAGGCAGCAGUGGGGAAUUUUGCACAAUGGGCGAAAGCCUGAUCCAGCAAUGCCGCGUGUGUGAAGAAGGCCUUCGGGUUGUAAAGCACUUUUGUCCGGAAAGAAAACCUGUGCCCUAAUACGGUCGGGGGAUGACGGUACCGGAAGAAUAAGCACCGGCUAACUACGUG
Molecule: ribosomal RNA, 486 nt
Filed under: uncultured bacterium
Lineage: Bacteria
Description: partial 16S ribosomal RNA
Rfam family: Bacterial small subunit ribosomal RNA
Source: RNAcentral